GUACAGUAUCUAUUUAAGUGUUAAGAGUGCAGAGUAACUGUGUGAUUUUUUUUUGUGUGUGUGUGUGUGAGAGAGAGAGAGAGAGAGAGAGAGAGAGAGAGAGAGAGAGAGAGAGAGAGAGAGAGAGAGAGAGAGAGAGAGAGAGAGAGAUGAGAUUUUGUACAGAAGCAGAGAUCUGUCUUACGGAACAGACAACUGGAUAGUCAAUGUGACUCUCCUAUCCAUCCUCACAAGUCUUGGAAUUAGUGGCACAGCAUGGUUUGUAUCUUACCUGGAGGGACAGUCUUAUCAAGUGACAUGGCGGGGAUCUGUUCCAUGCAGAAACUCCACUAGUGCCCCACAUGGUUCAGUGAUUAGUCCUCUUCUGUUCUUCUCCUAUACUAGGUGAGGUAAUAUGUUCACAUGUUUUUUCAUACCACUGCUAUGCUAAUGACACCCAACUCAUCCUUUCCUUUCCUCCCUCAGACACUUAUGUUUCUGCAGUGCUCUUAGCAUGUCAGGCAUAUCUCUCAUCCUGGAUGGCAGCUUACCAACUGAAACUAAGUCACAGCAAGACUCAGCUACUGUAAAUCCAUGGAGAUGCAUCCCCAUAUCAAGAUGUUGGGAUCUCCCUGGAGAACUCUUGGAUCACACCAUCUAGCAAUGGACGCAACAGCGAGGCGGUUCUGUACAACCAAUUAUACUUUUCAACUCACAUUGCUAACCUGACUUAGUUAUGCAGGGUUAUCCUUCAGGUGAUUGUUAUUUGUCAUCUUGAGAUUGUACUACUGCAACUCACCCCGACAUGUCAUCUGACCCUUGCAUCUUACCAAGAAUGCAGCUGCAUGACCUGUCUCCAGCCCAAGUUCUUCCCAUCACCCAAAUUCUGCAUUCGCCCUACUGGUUUAGAGCUUGCAUCAAAUGCAAAACACUGAUGCUUGCAUAAAAAGCCAAACAUGACCACCACCCACCUACCUAAAGACACUUAUCACCUUGUUCCCUUCGAGCCUCUACCAUGGCUUGACUUGGCCCAACAUUCCUCAAGAUACAAGGAAGACAUGCAUCCAUCGAGACUCUUCUCUGCACUGGCAUCCAGGUAAUGGAAUUCUCUUCUCCCGGCUGUCUGAUCAGCUGAGUAAAUCUGUUUUGCUGUACCAACUUCUCUAACAGGGUUCAAUUUGAUGGAAUUUGUAGACCUAAUGAACUAGCACAAGGUCAUGUUUCUGAUGGAGACUACAAAGCAUUUUUGUAAGUCUCACUGGAUUAGUGUGUUUGCUAAAUGCUGUAAAUGUAAAUGUAACUUUAGCCUUUCAUAAAAUUCACCUUUUAAAUGUUUCUGGUUCAAAAACAAAAGCUGUUCACUCAUUGCUAUUAUGUGGCAGUUCCUCAGCGAAGUAUCAUUAACUGUAGGAGUCCACAUCAUCUUCCCUAUCUUUACAUCUUUCCCUCACCACCCUGAGGUAUGGAAGGUCACUCUUUAGCAGCCCUGUGCUUGAUGACACCUGCAAGACUGUACAUGGAAAAGCACUUCAUGUUUGCCUGUGUUUAACCUGUGGUCUGCAAGGUUCCAAUAGAUAAAAGACAGCUCCAUUAAUAAUUCUGUCAGCAAACCUCCUUCUGUGUUAAUCGGGCUGGUAUAAAUGAAGUAUGAAUUCUGACAAGCUUAAAAAAAAAUUAAAUAUUAUUUCUACAACUGGCAUCCCUCAUAUUAGCAGUCCUUAAGUGAACCAUAGUUAAGUGAUUAUGAAACUUUUCACCAUCAUGCAAUUUUUCUCUAUCAGAUCAAAUGCAGGAUAACAGAACAGCAUUCGCCAGCCCCUUGGAAACAUUAGAUAAUGUGAAUUGAAUGAGAGUGUAUCUCAAGUAGCAUUACAGCUAUUAUUUCUGUAUGUUUCCAAGUGAAAGUGAAUCAAUACCUAGUAUCCUAGUUUUACCCCAACUGCCCAAGCUGAGAAGUUGCUGACCACCAGCACUAGCAGGCUGCUUGUAUCUUAAGCAAUCUGGGCAUUGCUCUCUGUAUUGGUUAGACCUAUUGUGUCAAGAACCAUCCACUCUAAAAUAUAUGGCGUAAAUAAGUUGUUUUUGUAUCAACCCUUGCUCACAGGUCCCUGUAGUAUCAGCAAUUGGAACAGAUGCAAUCCAAUUGAGUGAUUGAUUACAUUUUCUUAUUUAUUAUAUGUCUAGGCAAAAGAAAAUACUGAAACUCUAAUGAGGGCCGAUGCAUGACAGACAUUUGCUGCCUGUAGAUCAAUAAGAUCAUUAUGGGGUCUUGAUUAAUCUUGUUUGACUGAGCAAGGUUAGCUCUUUCUAAAACAUUGUAUUCACGUGAGAAAAAAGAAAAACCAUGAUGGGUUGUCUAUAACUAGCUUUGAGAUGCCAGUGUUCUAGAAAGUUCCACAAAUUGUUUAAGACCCUACAUUAGUCAGUACCUAGGAUUCUGUUUUUCAACAAAUGAAUACAGUGUGUACAGAGAGUAAACUGCAGCAUCAUUUCUCAUGGGGUAAAUAUAUAAUAAGCACAUACUAUAGUCCAUAUAAUAGGCCAUAUAAUGGGAACACUGUACAAUAUCGUUCAACAACACAUAGGUAACUAUGCAGUAACUAAGCUGGAACGGAUGAGUAGCUAUUUGUUAACACCUAUCUUAUUCCUGUAAAUUCUAAAAACAACUAGUUAAUUACUUAGUCACAAGAUUCUCCUGUCCAUUUUAUAAUAACUUCUUUUUUUUUUAAUAAUAACUGCUGAUUCAUUACGAAUCACACCAACAUUACUUAACAUUAGCAAAGCCUUAUCGUCCUCAUGGAGAUCUACUACCCAAUGUUGUUUUUAUUCAGCCAGUCAAGGUCUAAAGAGAGUAAUAGACAACAAUACCCUACAAAAGUAUAAGGCUGAAAUGUAGCAAUCAGUAACAAAUUCACAUUAAAAUUUGUUUGUAAUACACAGAAACACUUCAGUCAUUAAUAAUGAGUUUCCAUGUGUUUUACUUUACAGUACAGUUCCACGUCUUCAUUAAUUACUGAAGAACUUCAGAGUAACACUUCAGUCAUUACUAAUGAGUUUCAGUUUAUUGUUUAAACUUAUAUCCAUAUAUUUAAAAUACAUGCAAACAACAUUCAUAUGUGAGCCAUACAUCCUGGAGCUGUUAUGGUACAAAACAGGGGUAGCAAAUAAAUGUAAAAGUUACAAUCAAAUUCCUUAAAACAAUUAAAUAAAUAAAAAAUUAUAAUACAUUGAACAAACAUUAACAUAAGCAUGCCGUUUGCUCAUAUUACAUAUCACAUGGAAGGUGAAAAAACGUUACUUUUUAAAACAAAGAAUAUAAUAAGAAUGCAGUGUCAGAAUUUUAUAAUUUACUUUCAUGUUUAUAUUCAUUUUCUUUUAUGUAUGAAUAUAAACACUUAGCAUAGUUACCAUAUCUUAGCCUAAUCAAAUCUGUGUAAAGCCCUGCUAGCUCCAACGUGUUUUAUGUGGAAUCUCAGAUAACUUCCUCUUAAAUAGCAACUCUCACAUAGUGUACAAAAGUUGGGACUCUGUGUAAAAUGUUAAUAAAAACAGAAUGCAAUGAUUUGCAAAUCUUAUAAACCCAUGAGAAACUGACCACAGAACAGUUUUCCAUUUUGCUUCAGUCCAUUUUAAAUUAGCUUUGGUCCAGAGAAGACGGCAGCGUUUCAGGAUCAUGUUCACAUGUGGCUUCUUCACAUUCCAGCAUUUGUGGAUGGAAUGGCGAACUGUGUUCACAGAGAAUGAGUUCUGGAGGUGUUUCUGAGCCCAUGCGGUGAUUUCCAUUACAGAAUCAUGCCUGUUUUUAAUGCAGUGCUG
This is a long non-coding RNA of Ictalurus punctatus (channel catfish), 3795 nucleotides long. Lineage: Eukaryota; Metazoa; Chordata; Actinopteri; Siluriformes; Ictaluridae. The record is from Ensembl.